UGAGGAAUAUUGGUCAAUGGACGGAAGUCUGAACCAGCCAUGCCGCGUGAAGGAUGAAGGCGUUCUGCGUUGUAAACUUCUUUUAUCUGGGAAGAAACCACCUUUUUCUAAGGGUGUUGACGGUACCAGAGGAAUAAGCACCGGCUAACUCCGUGCCAGCAGCCGCGGUAAUACGGAGGGUGCAAGCGUUAUCCGGAUUUACUGGGUUUAAAGGGUGUGUAGGCGGACAUUUAAGUCUGGGGUGAAAUCUCCGAGCUCAACUCGGAAACUGCCUUGGAUACUAUUUGUCUUGAAUUAUGUUGAGGUAGGCGGAAUAUAACAUGUAGCGGUGAAAUGCAUAGAUAUGUUAUAGAACACCGAUUGCGAAGGCAGCUUACUAAGCAUAUAUUGACGCUGAGGCACGAAAGCGUGGGUAGCGAACAGG
Molecule: ribosomal RNA, 424 nt
Filed under: uncultured bacterium
Lineage: Bacteria
Description: bacterial SSU rRNA
Rfam family: Bacterial small subunit ribosomal RNA
Source: RNAcentral